GGCACCACUUUCAGAUAAAAACAUAGACCUGAAUGGCAUCAUCCAGUAUCCAAGGAAACCAUAAAAAGGGCCCACCCUUGCUCAGAAACCAGUGUUCUGUGUGGAGAAAACAAGGUUCUCCAUGGAGAGAAUCCUACAAAUCUCUGAUAUCUGCGUGUUUGAGAAACUACCUUCAUUCAGACACAUGGACUGUAACUUCUGAGUCCUUAACCAUCACCUCAAAUUAUCAAGGGAGAAGAAAGGAGAAAUUUCGCAUAGAGUGUUUGGACCCUCUGAUUAAGCAACUGAUUAAAAAAAACGUAGGAUUUUUCUCACCUUUGGAAAAAAUAAAUCUCUUACCAGAGAUAUGA
Molecule: long non-coding RNA, 350 nt
Filed under: Cercocebus atys (sooty mangabey)
Lineage: Eukaryota; Metazoa; Chordata; Mammalia; Primates; Cercopithecidae
Description: lncRNA (ENSCATG00000045713.1)
Source: RNAcentral